RNAcentral lists this ribosomal RNA (497 nucleotides) under uncultured bacterium. Its description in RNAcentral is "partial 16S ribosomal RNA". It matches the Rfam family "Bacterial small subunit ribosomal RNA", at positions 28 to 507 of the family's 1533-position model. The record is from RNAcentral.
GAUGAACGCUGGCGGCGUGCCUAAUACAUGCCAGUCGAGCGAACAGACGAGGAGCUUGCUCCUCUGACGUUAGCGGCGGACGGGUGAGUAACACGUGGAUAACCUACCUAUAAGACUGGGAUAACUUCGGGAAACCGGAGCUAAUACCGGAUAAUAUAUUGAACCGCAUGGUUCAAUAGUGAAAUACGGUUUUGCUGUCACUUAUAGAUGGAUCCUCGCCGCAUUAGCUAGUUGGUAAGGUAACGGCUUACCAAGGCAACGAUGCGUAGCCGACCUGAGAGGGUGAUCGGCCACACUGGAACUGAGACACGGUCCAGACUCCUACGGGAGGCAGCAGUAGGGAAUCUUCCGAAAUGGGCGAAAGCUUGACGGAGCAACGCCGCGUGAGUGAUGAAGGUCUUCGGAUCGUAAAACUCUGUUAUUAGGGAAGAACAAAUGUGUAAGUAACUAUGCACGUCUUGACGGUACCUAAUCAGAAAGCCACGGCUAACUACGUG